RNAcentral lists this long non-coding RNA (478 nucleotides) under Homo sapiens (human). RNAcentral describes it as "HSALNT0099620". Lineage: Eukaryota; Metazoa; Chordata; Mammalia; Primates; Hominidae. The record is from RNAcentral.
CUCGUCUCUUCCGCAGGCAGUUUUUUCCACGGGCUUCCAUGAGGCAGGUUUUAGACGACAGAAUUCUAGCCCUUUAGGAAUGAAAGAGAAAUCAGGGCUUUCUCUCCGUGCCACGGUGGUGAGGCGAGUAUUCUAUCGAAGCCCACGCUUGGCACGUUUGCUUGUCUCCCGGGCCAUUGGAACCGUGUGAUCCAUAAGGCGCCUGAGCGCGCGUUUGGUCAGAGGGGCUCGGUCACUCGCCAGGGGAAACCCUGGGUGCGGGAGCUUCCUCUGCAUUUGGGCUGCACCUUGAUAGACUCAGAACCUACAGGGAAAGAUGACGGCUAACUCCGCCGACCUCUCAACCGGGAGAGCCCCAGAGAGGAAGCAGAUUUGUCUCCUGGACUAUCGAAGUGUCCCGGUGGCAAGCUAAGCGGAAAGCUAGUUUGGCAUCUCACAGCACCCAGGCUCACCCAUAGUCUGUUCACUUUCUUGAAAC